UGGGGAAUCUUGCACAAUGGGGGCAACCCUGAUGCAGCGACGCCGCGUGAGCGAUGAAGCCCUUCGGGGCGUAAAGCUCUUUCGACCGGAACGAUAAUGACGGUACCGGGAGAAGAAGCUGCGGCUAACUACGUGCCAGCAGCCGCGGUAAUACGUAGGCAGCAAGCGUUACUCGGAAUUACUGGGCGUAAAGCGUGCGUAGGUGGUUCGUUAAGUCUGAUGUGAAAGCCCUGGGCUCAACCUGGGAAUGGCAUUGGAAACUGGCGGACUGGAGUGCGGUAGAGGGUAGCGGAAUUCCCGGUGUAGCAGUGAAAUGCGUAGAGAUCGGGAGGAACAUCCGUGGCGAAGGCGGCUACCUGGACCAGCACUGACACUGAGGCACGAAAGCGUGGGGAGCAAAC
This 401-nucleotide ribosomal RNA is filed under the name uncultured bacterium. RNAcentral describes it as "bacterial SSU rRNA". It matches the Rfam family "Bacterial small subunit ribosomal RNA", at positions 355 to 773 of the family's 1533-position model. The record is from RNAcentral.